Non-coding RNA from Salvelinus fontinalis (brook trout), 479 nucleotides. The record is from the annotation of a RefSeq genome assembly. Lineage: Eukaryota; Metazoa; Chordata; Actinopteri; Salmoniformes; Salmonidae.
ACUCCUCUUGUUUUAUAUACAUUGAUACCAGACUCUUUCCAGCACUCUCACAUAUAACGUGAUCAAACAUGUUCACAUUUCUCUCCACUGUUACUGUCUCACUGCUCUGUGCUGCAGGUCUUGUUGAGGGGAGUGAAGUCACUCAGACACCCACCAUACUCUGGGAACUGAAAGACAGGGAUGCUCUGAUGAACUGCAGUCACACUAAGGGUCUAAGCUACUUCCAGAUGUACUGGUACAGACAGCUUCCAGGAGAGGGAAUGAAGCAGGUAGCCUUCACUACUCCCAGUUCCAAACCUGAGUAUUCAGGGGAUUUCAGUGAAGACAAAUUAUCAGCCAACAAGACUGUAGCUGAGAGGGGAUCUUUCACAGUGAAGAAGUUGGAGGCAGGAGACAGCGGCAUGUACUUCUGUGCUGUGAGUCAACACAGUGAUACAGACAACAAGUACAGCUGCACAAAAACCCCAGUAUUUCAAUAG